CUACGGGGUGCUCCAGUUAGGAAUAUUUUGCAACGCGCGCAAGCGUGACAAAUUGAGCCAGAGUGAUUUUCAUAUUGAAAAUCUUUUGUGGAAUGUAAAAAGUUUCACGAAUAAGGACUGGGUAAGACUAGUGCCAGCCGCCGCGGUAAUACUAGCGGUCCAAGUCGCAGCCAUUUUUAUUGGGUCUAAAACAUCCGUAGCUUGUUUGAUAAGUUUCUUGUGAAAUCUGAUAUCUCAAAUAUCAGGCGUGCAAGAAGUACUGUCAAGCUAGAGACUGGAAGACGUGAGAAGUACGUUUAAAGUAGCGGUAAUAUGUGUUAAUCUUAAACGGACUUACAAUAGCGAAGGCAUCUCACGAGGACAGUUCUGACAGUAAGGGAUGAAGGCUAGGGGCGCAAAACGGAUUAGAUACCCCUGUAGUC
Molecule: ribosomal RNA, 422 nt
Filed under: uncultured archaeon
Lineage: Archaea
Description: partial 16S ribosomal RNA
Rfam family: Archaeal small subunit ribosomal RNA
Source: RNAcentral